Molecule: ribosomal RNA, 1356 nt
Filed under: Vibrio cholerae
Lineage: Bacteria; Pseudomonadati; Pseudomonadota; Gammaproteobacteria; Vibrionales; Vibrionaceae
Description: partial 23S ribosomal RNA
Rfam family: Bacterial large subunit ribosomal RNA
Source: RNAcentral
UACGGCAGUGAAGUCAUUGAUGCCAUGCUUCCAGGAAAAGCCUCUAAGCUUCAGAUAGUCAGGAAUCGUACCCCAAACCGACACAGGUGGUCGGGUAGAGAAUACCAAGGCGCUUGAGAGAACUCGGGUGAAGGAACUAGGCAAAAUGGUACCGUAACUUCGGGAGAAGGUACGCUCUUGAUGGUGAAGUCCCUCGCGGAUGGAGCUGACGAGAGUCGCAGAUACCAGGUGGCUGCAACUGUUUAUUAAAAACACAGCACUGUGCAAAAUCGCAAGAUGACGUAUACGGUGUGACGCCUGCCCGGUGCCGGAAGGUUAAUUGAUGGGGUUAGCGCAAGCGAAGCUCUUGAUCGAAGCCCCGGUAAACGGCGGCCGUAACUAUAACGGUCCUAAGGUAGCGAAAUUCCUUGUCGGGUAAGUUCCGACCUGCACGAAUGGCGUAAUGAUGGCCACGCUGUCUCCACCCGAGACUCAGUGAAAUUGAAAUCGCUGUGAAGAUGCAGUGUACCCGCGGCUAGACGGAAAGACCCCGUGAACCUUUACUACAGCUUGGCACUGAACAUUGAACCUACAUGUGUAGGAUAGGUGGGAGGCUAUGAAGACGUGACGCCAGUUGCGUUGGAGCCGUCCUUGAAAUACCACCCUUGUAUGUUUGAUGUUCUAACUUAGACCCAUUAUCUGGGUUGAGGACAGUGCCUGGUGGGUAGUUUGACUGGGGCGGUCUCCUCCCAAAGAGUAACGGAGGAGCACGAAGGUGGGCUAAUCACGGUUGGACAUCGUGAGGUUAGUGCAAUGGCAUAAGCCCGCUUAACUGCGAGAAUGACGGUUCGAGCAGGUGCGAAAGCAGGUCAUAGUGAUCCGGUGGUUCUGUAUGGAAGGGCCAUCGCUCAACGGAUAAAAGGUACUCCGGGGAUAACAGGCUGAUACCGCCCAAGAGUUCAUAUCGACGGCGGUGUUUGGCACCUCGAUGUCGGCUCAUCACAUCCUGGGGCUGAAGUCGGUCCCAAGGGUAUGGCUGUUCGCCAUUUAAAGUGGUACGCGAGCUGGGUUUAGAACGUCGUGAGACAGUUCGGUCCCUAUCUGCCGUGGGCGUUGGAAGAUUGAAGGGGGCUGCUCCUAGUACGAGAGGACCGGAGUGGACGAACCUCUGGUGUUCGGGUUGUGUCGCCAGACGCAUUGCCCGGUAGCUAAGUUCGGAAUUGAUAAGCGCUGAAAGCAUCUAAGCGCGAAGCGAGCCCUGAGAUGAGUCUUCCCUGAUACUUUAAGUAUCCUAAAGGGUUGUUCGAGACUAGAACGUUGAUAGGCAGGGUGUGUAAGCGUUGUGAGGCGUUGAGCUAACCUGUACUAAUUGCCCGU